AUUGAACGCUGGCGGCAUGCCUUACACAUGCAAGUCGAACGGCAGCACGGGAGCAAUCCUGGUGGCGAGUGGCGAACGGGUGAGUAAUAUAUCGGAACGUGCCCAGUCGUGGGGAUAACGUAGCGAAAGCUACGCUAAUACCGCAUACGAUCUACGGAUGAAAGCGGGGGGAUCGCAAGACCUCGCGCGAUUGGAGCGGCCGAUAUCAGAUUAGGUAGUUGGUGAGGUAAAGGCUCACCAAGCCGACGAUCUGUAGCUGGUCUGAGAGGACGACCAGCCACACUGGGACUGAGACACGGCCCAGACUCCUACGGGAGGCAGCAGUGGGGAAUUUUGGACAAUGGGCGAAAG
Molecule: ribosomal RNA, 351 nt
Filed under: uncultured bacterium
Lineage: Bacteria
Description: bacterial SSU rRNA
Rfam family: Bacterial small subunit ribosomal RNA
Source: RNAcentral